AUAUCGGCUCUUCUCAGAGCCACAAUUUCUCAUGCCCCAAACACAU
Non-coding RNA from Nomascus leucogenys (northern white-cheeked gibbon), 46 nucleotides. NCBI's taxonomy places the organism in Eukaryota, Metazoa, Chordata, Mammalia, Primates, Hylobatidae. The record is from Rfam.